AGGGCACCACCAGGAGUGGAGCCUGCGGCUUAAUUUGACUCAACACGGGAAAUCUCACCAGGCCCGGACACCGGAAGGAUUGACAGAUUGAGAGCUCUUUCUUGAUUCGGUGGGUGGUGGUGCAUGGGCCGUUCUUAAGUUGGUGGAAGGGAUUUGUCUGGGUUAAUUCCCAUUAACGAACGAAAACUCCUGGGCCUACUACUAAAACUUUGGGAUCCCCUUUCGGGGGGUCAUCGCAACCUUCUUAAAGGGGAGGGGGGGGGCGUUUUGCCCCCCCGGGGAUUGAACAAUUACCCGGGCCCCCGAUCCCCCUUGGAUUUUCUUGGGCUUCCCCCCCCCCUCCCCUUGAAGGAAUCGGCCGGGGGGGUCCCCAUUCCAAAAGGAUUGGGAAAACCCCUUCAAACCCCCCUUCUUGAUGGGGGGAUGGGGGGAGUUGGAAUUUUUUCCCCCCGGAAAGAAGGAAAUUCCCCGUAAGGGCCGGGGCCAUAAGGCUGGCGUCAUUUCCUUCCCUUCCCCUUU
This 519-nucleotide ribosomal RNA is filed under the name uncultured eukaryote. Its description in RNAcentral is "partial 18S ribosomal RNA". It matches the Rfam family "Eukaryotic small subunit ribosomal RNA", at positions 1161 to 1661 of the family's 1831-position model. The record is from RNAcentral.